GCCGGCCGUUAUAGCCCCGAGCUGCCCGGGGCCGCAGCCACUGCUCCACCAGGAACGACGAGCGGUGGCCCAGGGAUUCACUUUUUUUCUCUUAUUUUUAACCUCAGUGCCUCAGCCAUCUGCCGGCCUCGGCCCGCGCGGGCUCAGGGGUGCCCAGGGAGUGACCAGCGGCUAUCGGUGUCACCGUGCAGGCUCCUGCUCCUCCUCAUCAACAACAAUAAAGAUACUGAAUCAGAACAAGCUGGCAAUUUUGUUGAUGAAACAUGGGAGAGAGAGGACUCCAGCUGGCUCUUCAGCAGUUGGCCAGUUGACAGGAAUAAAACUGCAAGAAACCUGACACAGAAAACACACGUGGCAAGAGGAGACAGACAGCAGAGGCAGGCAGUAUGCCCAGCACAAGACAUUUGGCCAUCUUGGCCAUCCCUGACUCUCCACGGAGGCUCUCAAAUCAAAUAUCUGGUUCUUCUGACUCAGUGUCCAAAGGGGCACCUCUGAAUCCAAGCCCAUUUUUAAAGCUUUGCCCUGUAUUAACAAAUGAAGCUUCCCAAUGCUCAAGCAGGUGAAAAAAAAAAAUCUAUUUUAUGACAACAGGACCUCCAGCACAGAGAAAACCAUUCAUCUUCCCAAAGACUGUCUGCCAUUACUAGACACAUAUGUAAGGAUUUUUUUAAACCUAAUGCAAUAUCAAAAGCACAUGUUCUGUGUAAAUGUCAGACAUUUUUACUCGUUUUCCUACCAGAGUUCUGUGAUUAAAAUAAACA
Athene cunicularia (burrowing owl) is the source of this 761-nucleotide long non-coding RNA. RefSeq lists it as uncharacterized. NCBI's taxonomy places the organism in Eukaryota, Metazoa, Chordata, Aves, Strigiformes, Strigidae. The record is from RefSeq and is a predicted model, not a curated record. The transcript has 3 exons.